Molecule: small RNA, 92 nt
Filed under: Klebsiella michiganensis
Lineage: Bacteria; Pseudomonadati; Pseudomonadota; Gammaproteobacteria; Enterobacterales; Enterobacteriaceae
Description: partial RtT sRNA
Rfam family: RtT RNA
About the family: This family represents a bacterial cis-regulatory element known as RtT RNA. The exact function of RtT is unknown although it is thought that it may be involved in changing the cellular response in relation to amino acid starvation.
Source: RNAcentral
UGCAUCUGAAGUUUGUGAGGAUGAGAACCUCCGGGGGUAGAGGUUCGACUCGAGCGGAGCGAGAGAACGUUGCGUCAGCAACGGCCCGAAGG